Long non-coding RNA from Brassica napus (rape), 918 nucleotides. RefSeq lists it as uncharacterized. The record is from RefSeq and is a predicted model, not a curated record. The transcript has 2 exons. Lineage: Eukaryota; Viridiplantae; Streptophyta; Magnoliopsida; Brassicales; Brassicaceae.
CCUUGAGUGCUAGUUUGGGAACAUAAACUUGAUUUAGUACUAUUUUUGUCUUUUUCUCAAAAAAACUUUCCCUAGGGUCCAAAAUAAUUUUGGCCAUUCAUGGCUACAUGUAUAGAAAAGUUCACACUUUCAGACUUUUCAAAGCAUACAUUUAUUCAUGAACUUGGAUAACAUUCCAAAACUAGUGAAUGAUAUGACUGGAUGACUUUGUUUGAUUUCAUUGACCAGUCACCCAUUUACUCUUAAUUUUGGAUUAAUAAAACAAAAUCGGCGCAUCUUAACAUCAUCUUUUCAUUGUUAUUUGUUGAAGAUGUCUCAUCAUCGAUCGGGUUGCUUAGUCUCCAUACCACUAUUAUUGCUUAUUCUCAGCUUCCUACUCGCUUCCUUCUCCGACAGGGCAGUGGGUUUCCGCCCUCGAGCGGAUCGUUCACACCGAAUUUUCGGAUCUUUAUUGCGCCGGUGAUAAAUUUCUUGGUGAGCAAGAAAUCUCCUCUGCUCGUAAAUAUCUACACUUACUUCACCUACGCUAACAACAUGAGAGACGUCCGUUUGGAAUACGCUUUGUUAACUCCAAGUGAGACUGUAGUCACUGACAGGACAAACACAUACGGGAUAAACCUCUUCGUCGCACUCCUGGACACUGCCUACGUGGCAUUGGAGAAAUUAAGGGGCGGAGCAGUGAAGAUCGUGGUGUCGGAGAGCGGUUGGCCGACAGCGGGAGGAACCGCUGCGAGUGUGUAUAACGCAAGAACUUAUGUAAAGAAUUUGAUACAAACUGUGAAUUCGAAGACUGGAACUCCAAGGAGGCCAGAGAGAGUUACCGAGACUUAUUUAUUGUUGGAUUUUGAUAUCAGGCUAGUGAAUAAUUGUUCUGAUAUCUCAGGAUCAAGGCUUGAUAAUAGGAGAUGAUUUUUUUUC